CUCUUUGGUCAUGGUUACCAAUUUAAAACUUGAAAGACAAUUUUUAGGUUUUAGAGAAAGGAGAAUGAGGAGCGAGAGGAGGAAAGGGAUGAAAAGGGAAGGAAAGUGGGAAUGGGGAGGAGAACUUGAGAGACAUUUAAAACUAUUCAAAGAAACCUGUUUCAUGAGUGUAGAAAUGAGUGGCAUGGGAGAGACAAUUAAAAUUAACUUCAAGCAUCUAAGCUCUUGCAAAGACUUUCAUCCGAAGACAGAAGAGUUAAGCUUGGAGUAUCACAGAACAAGGCCAGCGGAUCAUCAGGUGAAGAAAGUCUGCAAGAGAAAGAAAUCAUGAUUUGCAGCAAACUUCAAUUGUAGAAGAAUUACCAAAACACGAGCAGAUUGAUGAAGUCCGGCAUGAGUGAGCAAGUUUGGUGACCAUUAUGUAGAGCGAUAAUGUUAUGGAACAAGAUAAACACAAUUUUUUUUUUUUUGGUGAAAAUUCUUGUAGUGUAUAUGCAUUGAAUUCUAAUUGUAAAUUGAUAUUGUGGUAUAAAUUAUUAGUGUGAAUUUCCAUUAA
Molecule: long non-coding RNA, 556 nt
Organism: Prunus avium (sweet cherry)
Lineage: Eukaryota; Viridiplantae; Streptophyta; Magnoliopsida; Rosales; Rosaceae
Source: RefSeq, a predicted model, not a curated record